GAUCUAACACAGCAAUUCGUAGAAUUUGACAACUUGGGUUCUCAAAUUGAUGCAGUAUUUCCAGAAUUCAAGGGCUACUUCAAGUAUCUUUUGAAGUAGGACGCCAUAAAACCAGGGAAUGUGUUGUGAUUGUGCAAUUCCAAUAAAAAUCUAAAUUGAAAUAA
Molecule: long non-coding RNA, 164 nt
Organism: Parasteatoda tepidariorum (common house spider)
Lineage: Eukaryota; Metazoa; Arthropoda; Arachnida; Araneae; Theridiidae
Source: RefSeq, a predicted model, not a curated record